CUGCUAUAUGUAUAUUCCCAUAUUCUGUUUGUUGGAAGGUCAUUCACUGUUGUCCACAAACUUUACCUCAAGAGGGACCCUGAUGUUCUACUGCUGAGAUGCCAGGGAAUCACUGCUUCAUCUCACAAAAGCGAACGCAAAGACAGCUGGAGCAGUAUCUACAUCACACCUGAAUAAGAGGCUUCCUCCUGGUGAGCCUGAAAUACCACAAGGCGCACGUGUCAUUGGCACUGGAGCGUGUGGGUGUAAUCAUACUGAAAUGAAGCAAGAACUUAAGGCAUGUCAGCUGCAUUCACAACAAGCAGGAUAACAUCCUCCUCCACCAGUGACCCAAAAGAAACCCGGUAGCUGCCUCUCUUCUCAAGGAAGAAACUUUCAAAACCACGUUUUUACAAUUGCAAUAAAAGAAAGCAAACUUUUACUGUACAAAGAUAUAUCAGAGUUGUUCUAAGAUUAUAUUAUCCCUCCUCUUAGCAGAUGUGAACUAAUUAUUGAUUAGGAAUGUCCAAUAAUAAUGGAUAGAUCCACAUGCAAAACAUCUACAGACCCAACUGAAAAUGUAAUUCUGGAUUUUGCCACAAGUCAAUGGUUUGGAUCGUGUUUAAAGAGUCAUAGUCACGUCCAUAAAUCCUCCUGCAAAGAAUUAAAUCAAUAACCCACUGAUGAUGAAUCUGAUUUCUGUGACUGCUGGUAUCAGCAACUGG
Molecule: long non-coding RNA, 704 nt
Organism: Etheostoma spectabile (orangethroat darter)
Lineage: Eukaryota; Metazoa; Chordata; Actinopteri; Perciformes; Percidae
Exons: 3
Source: RefSeq, a predicted model, not a curated record